CCUGGGGCAGCAGUGAGGAAUAUUGGUCAAUGGCCGAGAGGCUGAACCAGCCAAGUCGCGUGAGGGAUGACGGCCCUACGGGUUGUAAACCUCUUUUGUCGGGGAGCAAGACCCGCCACGAGUGGCGGAGCGAGAGUACCCGAAGAAAAAGCAUCGGCUAACUCCGUGCCAGCAGCCGCGGUAAUACGGAGGAUGCGAGCGUUAUCUGGAUUUAUUGGGUUUAAAGGGUGGGCAGGCGGACCAUCAAGGCAGCGGUAAAAUCGUGGGGCCCAACCCCAUCCCGCCGUUGAAACUGGCGGUAUUGG
This 305-nucleotide ribosomal RNA is filed under the name uncultured bacterium. Its description in RNAcentral is "bacterial SSU rRNA". It matches the Rfam family "Bacterial small subunit ribosomal RNA", at positions 342 to 645 of the family's 1533-position model. The record is from RNAcentral.